Numida meleagris (helmeted guineafowl) is the source of this 4548-nucleotide long non-coding RNA. RefSeq lists it as uncharacterized. The record is from RefSeq and is a predicted model, not a curated record. The transcript has 13 exons. NCBI's taxonomy places the organism in Eukaryota, Metazoa, Chordata, Aves, Galliformes, Numididae.
UUUUUCCCCCUCAUUUCUUAUUUUUUGCUAUUUCAUAAGCUUAAAACAAUAGCAGUAUAAACAGAAAUAUCCCUUGACUGAUGGUAAGGAAAUAGGUGAGAGUUUGGAAAACCUUGUAAUUAAAGUGAUUGAUACAAAAAAAAAAAAAAUCGUCCAUUGAAUUUGUUUUUGUGAGCAGUGCUAGUUGCCUUGCCAGUCUGAAGCUGGCACUGUGGGUUUGCUGUAAUCACUGAGCUGAGAAAAAGAGACACAGUUUUGUUUGUUUGUUUGUCAUCGCGGAGUUGAACAGGACAUAAGCAGUUGAAUGCACAACACUUUUCUCUGCUUUCAUCUUCUUCUCUUUGAUUCCACAUAAAUUCCCCUCAAUUCUUCCAGCUUGUUUUUGACCCCCCUUUAGAAUUAGGGCGUAUGUAUUACUCGUGAAUAUCAGCUGGGAAAAUAUGGCUUUCGGUUUUUAAAACAAAUGAUGAUAAAAAUCAACUACGUGUGUCAUUUCAAGUACGCUGUUCGAGUGCCACGUCCCACGGGAGAGUGUGUGUGUUACAUUCAUUGCUUUGGGGACAUCAGAGCUGUAGCCCUUGCCCUGGCCAGAUGUCAGUUCUGCAGGCAGGAUGGCAUGUUGAAUUGGUUGUGGUACAGUGUGGCACAUGGGCAAAUGCCUGCAAUCUGAACCUUGGUCAGGGUGCAAAAUGCUAACAUGUAGACCUCAGGGUUACAGCACAAAGUUGUUCAAAGAUUAGGAGAAGCAAGAAACACACCGGAGAGGAAGAAAUAAUGUAAUCAAACAAGAUGGCACAGAGCAAUGCCAAGGAAAAAAAAAUUCCUUCAGUCAACCAAUCCUGACUCGUUCAUUUCAUUACCAAAGCCAGUAAUCCUCUAUCACUUGGAGAGCAGCUUCAAAAGGCCUGUGCUAUCCAAUAUUUUGAAUGCAGCUGGUUGAAGAUCAAAUAGCGAGAUGACAGUGCCUUUCUUUCACUUCAGUAGUGGGGUCCCUGCCUUGCUGGGUUUCUCUAGUGUCGUGCAGAGGGUCGUACCCCUGGCUCAGCAUUCUCCCAGCAUCGCACAUUGACUGCUCUCCUCAGCCCUGGUUGUAAAGCAUGUGCCAGAGGCAAAGAAAGGGAUGGAAAGACGUGUGGUGGAAAUAUGUUGCACUCUAGCUUUCCUUGGCUUGCAGAUGGUAAAUUCAAGAUUAGUACAAGCUAGCCAGAAAGACUUCUCCAGAGUACUUCCGAAGCUAACAUUUUGGCACAGCAGUCAGCAUUUGCCAUGAGAUGGCUAAUUUGCUUGAACAUUUCUGAGGUCUGACAAGGCAGGUGUAGCACUGAGCAUGAAUUACAGAUCUCUCCUUGUUUCUCAGCUUUGCUACUCGCUCCCUGUGGCUGCAAAUCACCUCUCUAGUGCUGAGCUUCUUUUAAAUCUAUCAUACCUUCAGAUCUUUAUCUGGCAAAAUAUAAAAUGGAGUGUGUCACUGAAGUUGCUUUUGAGUGCACAGGUAGCCAAAGGACUCAUCCUGUAAGCAAAGCUCCUGUUUCCAGUCCAAGGCUUCACAAUUCUGAUACCAACACAAAAGGAUACUGCUUUCUGGAGCUAUGCUACAGUUACAACUGAGGGUCUAGCCCUUAACUGCUUUCCAGCCAGCUCUUCUGGGAGGAGGGAGAAGUCUGCUGUGUCAUGUUCCUCAGCAGCAGGGAUGGGCAGGGAUGGGCAGUGCACACUAGCAGACCUUCAACAGGUUUCCAUUCCUUGGGACUGGCCAAGAUGCUGGCUAGACCACACUGUUCCUUAGGAGCAUGCAGACAGUCCAAUCCCUAGAGAAAUUCUUCAAGAUUACCAGAAUUACCCACCAAGCUUGACUUUAUGCCUUGACACAUCUGUGAGUCAAUAGGGUGGUGAUGCAUUUUGCCAGAUGCUUCUAAAAGUGUUGUCCCGACCCAGCGGUUGUGCUAGUCAUCUCAGUGACACGGUCCUUAGCCAGCUUUCUGUAAGGCAGUCCUGUGGAGAUUGCAUAGGAGCCAGUAUGAAGCACUCAGUAUUUAAAACCUGCCCUUGUCACUGCUAAUGCUUCCGUCUGGGAUGUCUUGAGCCAUAGUGAUGUCAUGACGGCAUAUCCAUGGCAGGCAACUGUUUGAACCCACAUGCACUGUCCCUCAAACUGUUUGUGAGGAUGUGAGUGUCUCGCAUUCCCUAUAUCAGCCCUAUGCACCUUAGCUUCACAGCCAAGCCAGCCAUCCUUAUUAAUAGCGGGCUGGAUUUCUGUGGUGAGACGUUGAGGUUAGGUGUCACAGGGUGCAGUUUCACGAUAAGGACAUGACGUCUGCUGCUCCAGGGGACUGGUAGUGACAGCUCCAGGCAAGUCCAGCCUGGACAUGAGAACCCACCCCUGUGGGACUCGCCCUUGCAGGCCCCUCCAGGGCUGGAGGGCAGGUCUGUCUCAAUGGGGCAGCCUGUGGCAGGCCUCUAGCAGUGCAGCUUUCUGGGCUUGGCCAAGAGCUGCCGCUCAUUUUAAGGUGCAGAAGCCUCCUUCUAAGCACCAAACAGUGUGGCCUUGCCAGCCCUGCCGUUUCCUGCCGGCUCUGGAGAUAAGCCCACAGCGGGUCAGAGCAAAGGUAUCAUCGUGCCCUGCCUCAGGCCGCAGCAAACAGUGGAGCAGCACGAGGGCAGGGGAAGCAGAUAGCGACUCUUCUCAACAUUCUCUGUUUUCAGCAAGCGUCCUCUAUCUGACAGAUCAGCCGAGCCCAUGAGCAUGACCAAAACCACGGCGCUUGUCUGUCAGACCCCACGCAUCCUUCAGGGCAGGGCCUCUCGGCGUCCAUGUUUGCUGUGGGGAAACCCAAGCUAUGGAGCUGCAGAGACGUCUCCAUGCAUGGCUGAGGGCCAGGCAAUUGCUGCCAGCAUGGUUCUUGUGCUGUGUUCUCUCCUCCUGUGCAACGCGAUGGUGUGUUGUCCUGUGCUGUGAAGAAUUAACAUGCGCUGUGCUAGAGGUUGCCAUACUGCAGUGACUAGAACAUCAAGAGUGGGAGAGUAUCCAUUCAACUACAAACUUGCCCGAACCAUGGCUCUCUGCUUUCUCCUCCUUGCCUGGUUGUUGCCCAAGGGAAGACUACAGUCUGGGAUAAACUCUGCUCUCCAACAAACGUAUCACACAUAUGAUGUUUCUGAGCUUGUGCCUCUGCAAGGCCAUGCACUCUACUGCGCUGAGUCCAAGAGAAGAUUUCCAAGUGAUUGCCAGUGAUUGGCUGGGGAGCUUGGAGACCUGAAUCAAAACCUGAAGCUGUCAACUUGCUGAAGUAGUGAUGGAGUAUGUACAAAGAAUGCAGCGGAUAAUGGCAGUCCUGUCCUCUGAACAGAUGGUGAUGGUCCUGUUGCUAGGAUAAGGCCUGAAGAAUUUAGUUUUUAAUUCCACAUUAUUUGCCUCGGUGCCAUGAAUAUCCCUAGGUUUCCUCAGGCAAAAAUACAACAAAUACACAGAAAGAGAAAGAGAAGUGACAUGCGGAUAGAAAAGGAGACAGAGCACGGGAAAGGACUGGAGCCAGGAUCCCGUUGCCACCUGAAUUAUUCCAGCAACCGCAUUAUGUACGUGGUGGACACUGAUUGACAAUUGUCAUUUGGCAAAAGAGCUGUUGUGGAAAAACCUGUGAAAACUUCUAGUGCCCGUGACCCAGUCCCUGCAUCAAUGCAUGUGCAAGGUGUAUACAAAAAACUAGACUGCAUCAACAGUUCCCCAUUUUCAGCCGCUCUGUGGUCGAUGACCAGAAUGGUGUCCAAACUGGAAGAAAACAUUACUCCUUAAUCUCACCAAAAUUUGAUAGCGAAGCUGAGCACUGGAGGAGUCUCAGUGGCGACUCCGAACCCCUAAGCUUUAUCCAGGGAUUUCUCAGCAUCGCCUGUCCGCUUUGCUAGGGGAAAGGGUGGUGACGAGGCAGUAGCCGUGAGGCAAGACGAGUAUUCGGGAUGUUGUGAGCAGGACAUGGGAGAGCAGUGGUGCCAGACUGAGCACGCUAAGCAGUGGCUGUGUUCAGACCAAAAGCAGGGACCCUGGACAUUAGCAACUGCAAAUGGAGUUACUGCCCUGUGCUGUCAUGUGUUGCCACCAAAUGUGAUGGAGGAGAAGCCACAGAUGCCUUCAGCUGAAAGAGAAGGUAGACUCCUGCAUGGUGUGUUUGCUGCUACUUCUGUGCUAGAAGUUUCCACAGAGGGCUGAGAGUGAUGCCUCCAGGGGAAGGUGAGGGACUUGAAGACCAGUUCCUGGUGAGACGAUGUCCUGAGCAGAGUACCAACCAGGAAUACCCUCUUCAGAAAUGUUGGGCUGAUUGAAGGGAUGAGUGUCAUGGGGAAAAGUAUAUGAUGGUGUAAUAGCUGUCCAUACAAUGGAAAGUUGGAUGGGUACAAGCAAUGAAAUUUGAAAUCAAUCCCAAAUCCUUCUGAAUCCAGGAGACCUUCGCACCCAUGAAGGCACCACUGCUGAGUCAGGCCCAUGGCUGCGUGCACACCCAAGAAAUACACACGUGCUGAUAGAAAACAGAUUUAAAAGGUAACCGUGAAAUUGCU